RNAcentral lists this ribosomal RNA (442 nucleotides) under uncultured bacterium. RNAcentral's name for it is "partial 16S ribosomal RNA". It matches the Rfam family "Bacterial small subunit ribosomal RNA", at positions 338 to 795 of the family's 1533-position model. The record is from RNAcentral.
CCUACGGGCGGCAGCAGUGGGGAAUAUUGGGCAAUGGGCGCAAGCCUGACCCAGCAAUGCCGCGUGAAGGAGGAAGGCUUUCGGGUUGUAAACUUCUUUGACAGGGGAAGAGCAGAAGACGGUACCCUGAGAACAAGCCACGGCUAACUACGUGCCAGGAGCCGCGGUAAUACGUAGGUGGCAAGCGUUGUCCGGAUUUACUGGGUGUAAAGGGCGUGUAGCCGGGAAGGCAAGUCAGAUGUGAAAUCUGGAGGCUCAACCCCCAACUUGCAUUUGAAACUGUUUUUCUUGAGUACUGGAGAGGCAGACGGAAUGCCUGGUGUAGCGGUGAAAUGCGUAGAUAUAAGGCGGAACACCAGUGGCAAAGGCGGUCUGCUGGACAGCAACUGACGGUGAGGCGCGAAAGCGUGGGGAGCAAACAGGAUUAGAUACCCCAGUAGUC